GCCCAGCACAGUGGUGCGUGCCUGUAGUCCCAGCUACUCGGGAGGCUGAGGCUGGAGGAUCACUUGAGUCCAGGAGUUCUGGGCUGUAGUGUGCUAUGUGGAUCGGGUGUUUGCACUAAGUUUGGCAUCAAUAUGGUGACCACCCGGGAGCGGGGGACCACCAGGUUGCCUAAGGAGGGGUGAACUGGCCCAGGUUGGAAACAGAGCAGGUCAAAACUCCCAUGCUGAUCAGUAGUGGGAUCGUGCCCGUGAAUAGCCACUACACUCCAGCCUGGGCAACAUAGCGAGACCCCAUCUCUA
Unclassified non-coding RNA from Callithrix jacchus (white-tufted-ear marmoset), 300 nucleotides. It matches the Rfam family "Metazoan signal recognition particle RNA". From Rfam's summary of the family: The signal recognition particle (SRP) is a universally conserved ribonucleoprotein. NCBI's taxonomy places the organism in Eukaryota, Metazoa, Chordata, Mammalia, Primates, Cebidae. The record is from Ensembl.